RNAcentral lists this ribosomal RNA (496 nucleotides) under uncultured bacterium. RNAcentral's name for it is "partial 16S ribosomal RNA". It matches the Rfam family "Bacterial small subunit ribosomal RNA", at positions 29 to 507 of the family's 1533-position model. The record is from RNAcentral.
AUGCACGCUGGCGGCGUGCCUAAUACAUGCAAGUCGAGCGAACAGACGAGGAGCUUACUCCUCUGACGUUAGCGGCGGACGGGUGAGUAACACGUGGAUAACCUACCUAUAAGACUGGGAUAACUUCGGGAAACCGGAGCUAAUACCGGAUAACAUGUUGAACCGCAUGGUUCAACAGUGAAAGACGGUCUUGCUGUCACUUAUAGGUGGAUCCGCGUCGCAUUAGCUAGUUGGUAAGGUAACGGCUUACCAAGGCAACGAGGCGUAGCCGACCUGAGAGGGUGAUCGGCCACACUGGAACUGAGACACGGUCCAGACUCCUACGGGAGGCAGCAGUAGGGAAUCUUCCGCAAUGGGCGAAAGCCUGACGGAGCAACGCCGCGUGAGUGAAGAAGGUCUUCGGAUCGUAAAACUCUGUUAUUAGGGAAGAACAAAUGUGUAAGUAACUAUGCACGUCUUGACGGUACCUAAUCAGAAAGCCACGGCUAACUACGUG